UACGUAGGGUGCGGGCGUUGUCCGGAAUUACUGGGCGUAAAGAGCUCGUAGGUGGUUUGUCGCGUUGUUCGUGAAAACUCACAGCUUAACUGUGGGCGUGCGGGCGAUACGGGCAGACUGGAGUACUGCAGGGGAGACUGGAAUUCCUGGUGUAGCGGUGGAAUGCGCAGAUAUCAGGAGGAACACCGGUGGCGAAGGCGGGUCUCUGGGACGGUACUGACGCUGAGACGCGAAAGCGUGGGGAGCGAACAGG
Molecule: ribosomal RNA, 253 nt
Filed under: uncultured bacterium
Lineage: Bacteria
Description: partial 16S ribosomal RNA
Rfam family: Bacterial small subunit ribosomal RNA
Source: RNAcentral